GAUGAACGCUGGCGGCACGCCUAACACAUGCAAGUCGAACGAAGUGUGAGGAAGCUUGCUUCCAAUCACUUAGUGGCGGACGGGUGAGUAACACGUGAGCAACCUGCCUCUUGGUUUGGGAUACCGUUUGGAAACGAACGUUAAUACCGAAUAAUAUAGCGGAUUCGCAUGUUUCUGCUAUCAAAGAUUUAUUGCCAAGAGAUGGGCUCGCGUCUGAUUAGAUAGUUGGUGAGGUAACGGCUCACCAAGGCGACGAUCAGUAGCCGGCCUGAGAGGGUGAACGGCCACAUUGGGACUGAGACACGGCCCAAACUCCUACGGGAGGCAGCAGUGGGGAAUAUUGCACAAUGGGGGAAACCCUGACCCAGCAACGCCGCGUGAGUGAAGAAGUAUUUCGGUAUGUAAAGCUCUAUCAGCAGGGAAGAAAAUGACGGUACCUGACUAAGAAGCCCCGGCUAACUACGUG
This 466-nucleotide ribosomal RNA is filed under the name uncultured bacterium. RNAcentral describes it as "bacterial SSU rRNA". It matches the Rfam family "Bacterial small subunit ribosomal RNA", at positions 28 to 507 of the family's 1533-position model. The record is from RNAcentral.